RNAcentral lists this long non-coding RNA (39864 nucleotides) under Physcomitrium patens. Its description in RNAcentral is "long non-coding RNA (PPAT_LNC011633)". Lineage: Eukaryota; Viridiplantae; Streptophyta; Bryopsida; Funariales; Funariaceae. The record is from RNAcentral.
CCCAGAGGAAGUUCGAGGAAUCAGGUUUGACUGAUUUGGAGGUUGGACACGCGCGCAGCGGUGUAGAGGCGUGGUCGAAGGAUCCUGGGGGAGGUGGCUUUUUUUCGAGUUUGGAGAGUAUUUUUCUUUUUAUACUUUUUUUAUAGAAUAUUUUUUCGCAUAGUUAUUUUGGAAGUAUUUUCUUGGUGACUUUUUCUUGAAAAUUGGAAAGAUUUGAUCCCUGUACACAUGACGGAGCAGAUGUAGUGAGACAGUUUAGCGAGCAGCGGCGAGGAAACCAGGAAAUCGGUUGAAAGCGCCAUGAAUUGGUGCGUGGCACAGCCCAGCGUGUUGGGUUGAGUGCAUGGGGAGAGAGAGAGAGAGAGAGAGAGAGAGAGAGAGGGGGAAUUUCCGGAUAUAGUUGUUCAAAAUUUUGACGGCGUUUAGUUCUGUACAUACACGCGACCCUGUAAUCUUACUGUAAGCGUUUCCCAUUGGGUGUGUCCAUGUAAUUUACGAGCCCUUUGACGAGGUGCAGCCUGUACUACAACAUUUGUGCAAAUAAAGCGUCCAUUACCUUGAUGAAGGAGUUGAGGGGGAAGGGGGUGUGUGGGUGCGGGUUGCGGCAAUGUGUGGGAAUGUUGGUGGGAUGUGCGCAUGAGUUGAUGUGGAGUGGGUUGUUGAAAGGUGGGUGUGGUGGUGAGAGGAGUGUAUAUGGCGAGAGGCGAGUGGAGGUUGGGUUGGGUGUGCGAGAUGUAGACGUGGGUGGCGGUUGAUGCGGCUGUGUUGGGAAGUAGGGGAUGGCGGUGAUGCGAGUAGUGUGUGGUCCGCAUGCGCAGGGCUUGCUGGGCAUCUUGGGAAAGGGCAGUAGUCGCGAAGUCUUCGUGUUGUGUGUUUGGUUCAGAUAAUUGUUAGGUGUCACUGAACUGUUGGGAAGUUGAUGUGGUAUGUGUCCAUCACGAUGGUCGAUCGCACUGAUUACCGAUGGUGUGGAACUGAAACAUUUUUGCAUUUCCUUCGCAUGAAGCACAUUACAUGCUACGAAAUGUGGGUUUUCAUGAUUGGAACUAGAGUUAGCAAACUGAUGCGUUAAAUCAUCUAGUUUUAGUGUGUUUUUAAACAAAUUUUAGUGUGACGUUUAGCUUGACGUUUAGCUUGACGUGUAGUUUCAAGAUUUGUACUCAAUGUUUUGAAUUUUGUAAUCGUCCUAUUAGAAUCCAAUAUUGUGUGAAACGAAAGGAGUUCAGAAACUCGGACUUGUUUUGUGUAUGAUUCUUUUGGGACGGUAUUUCACUUUUGAGGGAAUGAUAGUGCACAUUCACUGGGCAUAUGUUAUCACCAGUGUAGUUGUUUGUCACAUUGGAUUGUCAUUUGCAACUUACAUGACUUGUAUGAUUUGGUAAUGGUUGUGUGACUAAUUGAACUUGGUCAAAUGUUUAAUUUGUAGUUGUGUGUCAAUAAAUACACAAAUACACACUGUGAGUUCACUCACUGCAGUUUAAUAUAGUAUUUCAUUAUUUUUAAGGAUUAUAGUCUUAUAUUUGAAUAUUUGGCAACUUGGUAAUGUAAUCAACAUCUUGAAUAUUGAUUUUCUUUGUGAUUUUGUAGUGGAUCUUUUAAAUAUGACAACAAAAUAAGUAUUUUAUAUAAUUAUGUCUACCCAAACAAUCUAAGUAUAAAUUUUAAUAUUUUUUUCUUUCUUUUUUCUUUUUAAUUUAUUUUGCAUUCUUUUGUAUAUUUUUGUACAAUUAGUAAUUAGAUUUGAUUUCAAUAUUAUAAUAUUUGGAUUAUAAUCCAAUUAAAGUAAUACUAUUAUUUAAAAAGAAAGAAAGAUUAUAUAUAACAAUGUGCAAUAAGUCUUUGUACUCAUGUUGAUGAAAAACAAGUCUGCUUUGGUGAGGCUCACAACCACACACAAUCUCAUGUAUUCACAAAAUUUAGAAGACCACAAUAGUACCAUCUAAGCUUCACUACCAUUGACACACACAAGCUCAUGUAUUCACAAAAUUUAUAAGACCACAAUAGUACCAUCUAAGCUUCACUACCAUUGAGUGUGACCUCCAUAUGUACUAAAAAUUGCAUGCAAUCUUCUAGGCAUUUCAUCUAUCCAUUUAUCAAUAGUGCCAUGAUCAAUGAGGUUCUAUUUGUCAUGUGCCACUUCAAACAAUUGUAAGGCAUCAUAAGGUCUCUCUCUCUAUACAAGAAACACUUUUUAAGACAUUGUUUGAGAAUCAUCCAACAACUUUCAAUUGGGUUGAGGUCUAGAGAAUUGGGUGGCCAAAGUAAUUGUGUAUAAUUACAUUUUCUCUAGAUUCUCACGUUCUCAGGCCCUUGGUGCAAUCUUACUCCAUUUGCAACUAGAUAGAUAUGACUUGUCUCAUUGCUUAGAUUGCAAAUAAAAGAAAUAAUGUAAGGUUUGUAUAAAUCUUGGGCAAAAUGCACAUCAUUGGAGCCAAGUCUAUUGCGAGGAGUAGUACACUCUUUCUUUGUUUUCUUCAUCACUAAUGCUACUAUAGAACAUCUUUUUGUAAUGCAUGCAAAAAUUCCAACAUUCUUCUUCCUUGACUUAAAACUAAGUUUCUUACUUUGACAUAUAUAGACCUUCUUUCUUGCAUGACAUGAAUCAUAGACUAUAGUGGCCUUUUUGAUGAAACAAAUUCUAGUCCAUUGCUUCAAAUUCCAUCUACGACUUUUAAAAGCAAAUUCUCUACGUUUUUCUUUUUGUCUUGAUAUCUAGUAGGAUUUUUUGCAAUAGAAUCUAUUAAUAGAAAAAAUCUUGCAAAUACUCGAAAAAGAGAGCCCAAUAUCUCCUUUUCUUACAAUCUCUUUCAAAGAUAAUAUAGGAUCCUUAUUUAUCACCUCAUCUACUAUACUUCUUACAAUCCUUGUAAUUUUUUGCAGACAACCUUUAUAAAGAGCAUCUCCAUUAUGAUCCUCCUAUAAAUCUCUUUUCUUCACCACCUCUUGAACUCUUGACUUUCCUACCUCCAAAGCCUUUGCAAUCCUUCUAUAACUCCAACAUGCUACAUUAUAGAGGGUGAAAAUCUUCUUAUUCAAUUCUUUUCUUGCAUCUCUUUGGCCAUGUAAAGGUGCCAUUAUAAAGACAAUUAAUUAUACUAAUUCAGUUGAAGGAGAUACAAGGACUUAUUGCACAUAAUUGUAUAUAUUAAAUUAUUGAUCAUAUAUAAAAAAAUAAAUUUAUAAAAAGAGACACAUAAUGCUAAGGUUAAUAUGAAAUAAUUUAAUAAAGUUUUUUUUUUUUUUUUUUUUUUUUUUUUUUUUUUUUUUUUAAUCAUAUUGUAAUUAUUGGUUUUAAAAGAAUCAAACUCUCAUAUAAAUAAUUUGAUGAAUGGUUGUUGCAAUUAGAAAAAGACAUGGAGGUAGUUAUAGAAUGAAAAAGAAUUUAAAAAAUAAAAGAAGAGAUUUUUAUUUUUAUUUUUUUAAUUCUAUUGAUAAUCAAACUUAAAAAAUAAAACUUAAAUAAUGUUAUAUCAUUUGUACUAUUAUCCAUAGAUAAGUCUUUAUCUAUGUUAAGCUUACAAUUUUAAGUUUGAAUUUAAUAUAAUUUAGAAUCUAAAAUCAUUGAAUAAAAUGAAAGAUAUUAAAAUUUGAAUGUGAAUCUUUUAAAAAGAUUUAUUAAGUAAUUAUUUUUCAAAGUGGCCUCAAAAGUUGCAACUAGCUUGAAUAAAGUUUUAGCAAAAGAUAAAAAAAUUAUGACUUUUUAGAACCUAUGUUUUGCUUGGAUCUAAAAAUAAGAAAAUAAUUCAAACUUGAUGUAGAAGUAAUCAAUUUCAUAACCAAGAAGAAGAUGAAUAUCUUAAUUAAUUACCACAACUUAUCUAUUGAGUGUUAUUUUUUUUUGGCAACAAAUAAUCAAAUAAAAUAUUAUUGAAAAUUAACUAACAUUAAGUUUAAAAAUCCAUGAUUGCUGAGGAGAAGGAAGUUGGCUCAUAAUUCUAGUGUUAAUCAACUAAAUAAUUCAAACAUAGUAUUUGCCAUAAUCUUGUAUUUAUACUUUGUCAAUGAUAAAAGAAAACAAACAAAUCAAUUCAAUGAAGAAGGUAAUAUUUUUAUUACAAGUCUGAAAUAAAUAAAAAUAUAAGAAUAAUCACAUCAAUCUUACAAAAGAAGGUAUUUAUUAACCUAGAAAUAAUUUAGAAAAUUUAAUUUUUAAUGUUAAAUAAAUAAAUAAGUCAAAGUCAAAUUCUAAUAGAGAUAUAUAAUAUAAUAAAUAUUUUAUAAAAAAUAAACUAUAUUUAAAAUAUAAUUAACUAUUAUCAAAUAUUAUUUUAAAUGUGCAAAUAAGAGCUUUUAUAAAAAAAUAGAAGGAAUAUAUACUAAAUGUUGUCAAAUUGAAAGAAAGACAAUGAAAAAAGUGUGACUAGAAUAUAAAUUGCAUAUAUAUAUAUAUAUAUAUAUAUAUAUAUAUAAAUAAAAAUACCACCUUCUAAUUAAUCAAUUGUAAAAAUAUUCAAAGACACAUGGAAUUAUUAUUAAUAGUCCUACUAAUGUUACAACCUUAAUUUUAAGAAAUAAUAUAUAAAUGUAUGAAAGCUUAUUUUUUUUAUGAGUAGAUAAAACUAAAUAAAUGCUCCUAGAAGACAUCAACAAGAUUAUGUAAGCUUAUUUGUUCCAAUUUAUUUGUGCAAAAUAAAAAAUAAAAAAUAAAAUUCCAAAUUAUAAUUAACAAAGAACAACCAAGAUUAUUUGUAGAGAUCUUAAUAAACUAAAAUCUCAACUUAAUAUCCAAUAUAAAAUAAUGCUAUAGAAACUAUAGUAAUUUAGAAAUAAGAAAAGAAAAGAAAGAUUUGAUUAUGUGUUUGAAAGUACUAGGAUGCAGAUAUAAAACAUGAUUCUUUACAACUUAAAAAUUCCAAAUAAUAGAAUAGAGAUGAAUUUAGAAAAAAUCAUUUUGCUAAAGAUAAGAUUUGACAUGCCCACACUCCCUAAAUAAGAGUCUUUAUAUAAAAACCAUAAAUGUCAAUUUUCACGAAAAUAGAGUCAAAUAAAUAAAAUGUUAUUAUAGAUAUAUAUUAUAACACUAGUAUUUACUUAUAUAAAAAAAAUAAAAUAGAAAUAAGUAUAUUUAAUAAUAUCUUGUAGAAAAGCUUUUUAAAAGCUUCAUAAAUAAAAAUUUAACUUUUUAAGUAUAUAUGGUGAUUAUUAAAUUGAAAACUUGGCCAAUAAAUUGGUUAUUUGUUGCACAUGACCCCCCUCUUUUCUUUCUUUUUUUUGUGCUCGUGUAGAGAUAACACGGACGAGUAGUUCUGUAAACGGUGGCCCCCGCCCAGCACUCGAAAGCUAAUGAUGUGUUUCUUAUCAUCCAAAAUCUCGAGGCGCUAACUACUGCAAGCGGUGGAGACACUGGAGACUAGAUGGACCUCCCCGAUGCUUCCCACACCAUCAUCGCCUUCAAUGAACUUACAAGUUGAAUAAAACUUUUGUAAACCUGAGGCUUGUCGAAACUGCGCACAAUCGCCCACACGAUCCGCAACGACACCUUAAUUUGUUGCAGCAGUAUGCGCCGCACUGGAGAGCCUUCAACUUGUGAGUAUGGUAACGACAUAGUAGAUCCUGCUGUGCCUCUAGCAUCCUUUGGAAAUCCUGCCGCCCCUUUACCUGCUGCACCAUACCAAGUGCUCUCAUCGGAUGUGUCGUGGUUGUAGUGGUAGUCGUCUUCGACUGCGGCUGGCUGCUCUCAGCACCGACUCUUUUUAUUAAAAUGCUCCCGACCGAAGAAGGCACCGAUUUGACGCCGCUGCCAUAUGACGACGACGACGACGCAGUAGCCUUGCCAGGGCGUAGUUUACGUGGCACAAGGCGUACUGUGUAGGAGAGGGCCCACAGAUUUCUAACACAGACGUAGGUUGGGUAUAUUUGAACUUAAAAGAAGAAUUGUGAUAUCUUAUCAGAUUGAAGGAUAUAUUUGAUAUUAUGACAAAACUGAGGGAUAAAUUUGCUAUUAAGAAGAAUACAUGGAUAUUUUUGAUAUUUCAACAUAUUUUAGGGGUACAUAUGAUAUUUUUUUUUUAUUAUUAUUGUGUUAUCAUGGUAGAACUUGUUGAAAUAAAGGGUGCAAUUGCAAAAAUGCAUGAGCAAUUAAAGGAUUUAAUGCUUGCAAUGUAUCAAUUCAAUUUACCACCACAUAGAGCAAUACAAUUAAUUGGAAGUAAAGAUAGAAAAAUAAUUGGAAUUACUUCAUCAUUUACACCAAAUCAUAUUACUUCUUUUAUAGUGGAGCAUUAUUCAAGCAUUAGAAAACUAAAAAAAUAUUUACUUAGGAAGUUUGAUGGUAUAAGAUUAAAGUUUCAAGGAUUUAUCAAUCAAAUACAAUUGGUGAUUAAGCUUAAAGUUAUCUAAUCCCAAGGUCACAAGUCAUGUUUAUUAAAAUAUUGCUUUUAGGUCCAUCUUUAUCAUGGAUUUUAUCUUUUUUUGAAAAAAAAGAUUUAAUAUUGGAUAAUUUAGAGGCUUUUUUGGAAAAUUUUUGAUCUAUGUAUAAAAAAUAUGAUGUAAUUUAUGUUGCAACCAAUAAGAUUUGUAUUUUGUAUAAAGACAAUUAUUUAGUUUUAUUAUAUGCUUUAGAAUUCCAAAACUUAUAAUUGAUAUGAAAUAAAAAGAUGUUGAAUUGAUCAAGCAAAUUUUCUAUAAAUUAUAAUAUGAAAUAAAGAAAUUGAUGCUAAAUUUACAUAAUCUUCAAAUUCUAAGUCAACCAAUUCAUUUUACUAUAAAGUGUGAUAAUGAAUUUUUUGAAUUUCAAUAUAAAAGCUUCACAUGUGUAUCUUAAUGUCUUUAUAAUUUAAUGGAAAUAUAAAUAUCUCUUUAAUACAUAUAUUUGAAAAUAGAAGAUAUAUAAAUUAAUAUAGUAUACUUUAAAUUUUUUAUUAAACAAAAAAAGACUUGAUGUUAUCAAAAAAUAUUGUGCUUAUAUUAUGAAAAACUCAUGUAUACUAUCCAACAUUAUUCAAAGAAGCAAUACAUCUACAAAUAAGGAGUAUGGUUGUCAAAGAAGACAAUGUGUUAGAAAACAAGUUUGUCAAGCUAUAAUAGAGAUUGUGCAAUUGAAAUCUUGUGUAAUAUAUAGUGAAGAUCCUAUUUUCAUUUCAAAAAAGACUUCAAAUAAUAUUCUAAUCAAGUAUAAGAAAUUAUCAAGAAGUUUUUGAGAAGAAAAAUGCAUAUAUUAUUUCAGAGUAUCAUCUUUAUGAUUGUUCAAUUGAUCUUUAAGAAUUAGCUCAACUACCAUUUGGAUUAAUUUAUAGCUUAUUAAAAAAUGAUUAAACUUCAUUCAAAGAAUAAAUUAAUGAAAACUUGGCAAAGAAUUUUAUAUGCUAUUCAAAAUCUCUAAUAGGAUCUUCUAACUUUUUUAUAAAGAAAAAAGAAAAAUUACUACAAAUAUGUAUAGAUUAUUAAAGAUUUAAUAAUAUUAUCUUAAAGUAUAGGUAUUAUCUAACUUCAAUAUCAAGAGUUCUUGGUGAAUUGAAUCAAACAAAGAUCUGCAUCAAAAUAGAUCUAUAAAAAAUAAAACAUUUGAUAUAUAUUAAAGAAAGAGAUGAAUUAGAGAUGCUAUUUUAAAUCAAGUAUGAAUAUUUUGAAUAUAAUAUCAUACUUUUUGGACUCACAAAUGUGCUAGUUAUUUUCUAAUAUUUAAUAAAUUUUGAUAUUUGAAAAUAUUUAGAUGAUUUUAUUGUUUAUUAUUUAGAGAUAAAAUUUUAUCUUUUUAGUAUUAUAAAUAUAAAAAAAUCACAAAUAAUAAUAGAAAAUAUAAUACAAUCUUUACCAAACCUCAUUUUUUUAUAACCAAAAUUUAUUUGAUUCUUUAUGUUAGUUAUGAAAGAUGUUAUCAAUGAAAAGUAUUAACUUUUUUUUAUUACAUAUACAAGAUUCUUAGAUGGCUUCUAUGUGUAUUUUUUAAUUUUAUAUUUUUUCUAAUGCACAAGAUAUUUUAACCUAUUUCAAUAUUGAUUUAAGUUUAAGACUUCUAUAAUAUCACAUCUUUAUUAUUGUUCAUUUUUAAAAGAAGUGAAAUUUGUCUUUUUUUUGGUAUAUCUACAAGCUUAUAUAGCUUAAAAAGAGACCUGUAGAAUAUAUGAUGGAUUAUUAUAGAUUUUGGUAGGUGUAAUCAAUAAGCAAUUAAAUUGCUUUCUUUAUAAAUUAGAAAUGGUUUAGGUCUAUAAUAAUCUAAUUUAUCAUAAGAACAACUAGUCUUGAUCUUAUGAUGAAGUAAUCAUAUUUUGUUGCUUUUAUGAAAAUAAAGUUAUUUUUUGCAAUAGAUAUUUGUUGAUCUUUUGUUUUUCUUGAGCUUUGUUUAAUUGAAUAUUUAUUAUUUCUUAUGGCUCUAAUAAAAAAAUUACCAAAUCUUUCAAUGUAGGAUUGUCAACUUUUCAAAAGUUAAAGAUAUGAAGUUUUUGAUGAUAAUCAGAAUUAGCAAAAAAAAGUAUUUAUUGAAUAGAAAAAUAUAUUAUAUUAUUAUUGAAAAACUUUUUUAAUAGAAAAAAAUUAUCUAAUCAUCUUGGUAGUAGUUAAUGACAUAUUUCAAAUAUUCCUUCAAAAUUUGAUUUACUUGUGAUUGUCCAUUGAUUUAAGGAUAGAAAAUCAAAGAUAGUUUUAUAAUUACCUUCAAUAUCUUAAAAAUGGUUCUUCAAAAUAUUGAUGAAAAUUGAAUUCUUCUAUUUGAUAUAAUAUCCUUAAUCAAUCCAUGAUAGUAAUAAAUAUUGCUAAAAAAGGUUUAGAUAUUUUUAUAUCUAUAAUAAAUUUUGUAAAUUAUAUAAAAUAUAUAAUCUUAUUGAAACCAUCUAGUAUCACAAAUAUAAAAUCAUAUCAUCUUGAGAUUAAAAGAUUUGUGAUAAAAUCCAUAGAAACAAAAGACCAUAUUUUUUUUUGAUAUUUAGAAUCACUAAAAAAGUUUAUAAGAUCAAUGAUUAGGAAUUUUUGAUUUUGAACAAAAAAUUAUGCAAUUGUAUAAAGAUUUUGAGUGCCUUCCACAUUUAAAGCUACCAAAAAUUUCUUGAUAUUAAUUCCAAGGUCUUGUUAUAAUCCAAAUAUAUUACAAUUAAAAAAUCAUGAGUUUAAAAAACUCUCAAAGAACAUCAUUCAUAAGAUGUUAAAAAGAAGCUGGUGUAUUUUUGAGCCCAAGAGCCAUAACAUUAUAAUCAAAAUGCACAUACUUGGUUUAAAACAUAGUCUUGUAUUUAUCUCUUUAUUUAAUUUGUACCAAAUUAUAUGCUUGUUAUAAAUCUAUUUUAGUUUAUAUUAUUAUUUUAUUGAAUUGAUCUCAAAGUUUUGAUAUCAAAGAUAGAAGAUAUGUAUUUGUAUUGGUAAUCUUAUUGAGUUUUCAAUAAUUUAUAGACAUUUGUAGUUAUUUAUUUAUUUAUAUUUAAAAAUAAGAUAAGAAUUAUCGCUAAAGAUUUUGAAUGAUAUAUAAAAUUUUUAGACAAGUUCUUGUUAUUAUAUUCUUUGAGUGCAUCCAACUUAUUUUGAAAUAAAUUAUAGAUGGCAAUUAAGUUCUUUCUUAAAAAUCAAUUGAAUAAUCUUAAGAAAAAUGUUUUAAAAAAAUAUCUACUUAUUGGUUUUAAAAAAAAUCUUAAUAAUCUUGAUACUUGUUUAGAAUUCCAUUUAAAAUAUUUUUUUCCAUGAAAAAUAGGUGUUGCAUAAAUAUCAAAAGGUGGCUUUUCUUUUGUAAUAUGCAUAAUAAUUCUUUCAUAUAUCAAUAAGGAUUUGGUUAUAUUUUACUUUUGACUUUUUACUUUUAUAAUAAAGUUUUGAAUUAUGCUUUAGAAAUAAUUAAGUUUAUAAAAAAUAAAAUCUAUUCAAAGAUUAUACUUUUUUAGCUAAGAUAAAUCUAAAAUAAUUGAAUUGGAAAAAAAGAUCUAAUUAUAUGAAAUAUUACUAAGCUAUUGUAUUAGUUAAUUAUUAUAUCUAAAAAAAAGAUUUUCAUAGAUAAUAUUUCCAAAAGAUAGCAAACAACUAUCUAUAACUUUUACAUGGAUGGACUUAGUUUUUUUGACUAAGAAUAUUUUCUAUUUUUUUUAAAAGUCUUUAUUUAUAUAAAAAAAAAUUAUGGAUUUUGAAUCUACAAAAGCAAAGACUUUGUAAUUUUUUGGUCUUAAAUAAAUAUAUAUUGUAAAAUAAGGUGAAGACUCUAAAAAAAAAUAAGACCUUUAUUAGAUGUUGUUUAAGAAUCCAAAUGUAUAGUCUUUAUUAUAAUUAAAAAAAUUAUUUUUUAAAAUAUUGUUUUAUUUGGUAAUUAUAUUCUUUCUUUUUUAAUUGUAUUGCUUCUUAAGAUAAUAUUUAAUAGUAUGCUUAGGUUUUUCAUAACAUAAGUACAAACCUUUUUUUGACAACAUUGAGUCUUUUUUCACUCAGUAAAGGAUUUGAAAUAUAUUAUAUCUAUUUGCAUAGAUUCUUACUUUGAUAAAUAAGUUAAUAAAAAUUUAAAAAUUACCAUUAUGAUUUAAUUUAUUUCUUUUCAAUCACAUCUUUGUUCUUAGAAUCUUCUAAAAAGUCAAUUAUUACAUACAAUGGUUUGAGCAGUAAAUUAUUUCAAUGAAUCUAUUCUUAACAUAGUUAAUAACAAAUUUUGGACAUUAUCAUUUAAUCCAAAAGAAAAUUUAAUGAUAAAGUCUUUAUCAUUCUAAUUAACAUUAUAAGUAAGAUUUUGGAAUUUAACAAUAUAUAUAAUGACUGUAUAUUAUCUUUAGUGUAAAGAUAAGAGUUUGGUCUUUAUUACCUUUUUUCAAUCAGUUUCUCCAAAUAUGGCCAUGAAUACUUUCAAAAAUGAAUUUAGAUCAUAAAAAUAUUUUAGAUCUUUUUCCAUCAAAAGUAUAAAUUAAAUAAAAAUACUUUCUAAUAUAAAUGUACAUAUAAAUCCAACUUAAGUAAAUCCAUUAAUAUAUUAGAAAAAAUACAAUCAUUGAUAGAUUUUCAUUUGUUGUAAGAAUCUUUAAAAUUUUGAUCUUAUUCAAUCAAACUUUUCUAACAUACCUAUCCUCACCUCUUUCAUAUUUGUAAUAGUAAGACUUCUUGCUUUCAAUUGUGACAUUGAUCUAUUUGCUUCUUUCAAUUAUGCAACUUCUUGGUGUAGACUUUAAAUUUUAUUGUUGGCUUCUUCUAUAAGUAUUAAAAUAAUACCUCCAUGAUUGACAUGGCAAUACAUGAGAUUUUUAUCUUUAGAAUAUUGACAAGCUUGUAAAAAUUAAUAAUAGUUGAAAAUCUAUUUUCACCUCCUUCAAAUAUAGCACCCAUAAUUUUUAUUUCUAUCUCCAUAUUAAAUAAUUUUAAAACACAACAAAAGAAUUAAGAUAGUUUACUCAUUUUUAAAUAAAAAUAAGAAUAAUAAAUUAGCAUUCUUAUCAAAUUGUAAAGGACAUAAAUUACAAAGAAUCAAAUGAUCAAUAUACUCUUGUAUCACUUAAAUAGAAUAUAUAAGUACUUAAAGAUGGUAUAAUAUUAAACUAGAAUGACUAUUGCAAAAAAUAAGAAAACUAAAAUUUCUUCAAACAAGAUUAAAAACAAAAAAGGCAUUGACAAGAAUAAAUAAGGCUUCAUUUUUUUUUUUUUUUUUUUUUUUUUUAUUUAUUUGUUAUAUGCACUAUUUAACUAAGAGAUAUGUGAAGAUGUUUUAUACAACCUUCAAGAUACAUCUACUUUGCAAGAUACAUAUCUAACUUAUAAAAUAAAUUUUUUACAUAUGCCCCAUAUUGCUAGCUUGUAUCACAAGUUGCCAACAUGUAAGAUAUGUGGCCAACUUAUUGACUUAGUUUUUAAACUAAUAAUCAACUACAAAUAUAUAUAAUAUCAAAUCUGCAUCUAUGAAGCUUCACUAGAUUAAUGUUGUCUUUUGUCUUUCACCACGUUCUAAAAUUGUAGUUGUCUUGUUAUUUGGAUCAUAUUUUACUUGAUGCAUUCUUACAAGAUGAAUGGCCAAACAAAAAAUAUUUGGUAUUUCUUCUGGGAUUUACAUGCCAAAAAGUCUCCAAGCAGCCUCUAAAGCUCCAAUGUAUCUUGUAUCUAAGUAUUGUUUGAUCUUAUUUUGUUAUUUUUUAAAAUUAUAUUAUGAUAGAAUCAUCACUUUUAUAGAUGUAUUUAUAGAUAUAUAUAAUGGUACAAAUAGAUAUAUAUACCUCAACAUUUAUAAGACAAUUGUACUUCCAAGAUAGUACCAAGGACAUGAAACUUGAAGAACCAAAAAUUUAAUACAUUCUUGUAAAAUUCAAUAAGAAUAAAUAUUCAUUCAAAAAUAAUAUAGUAUUAAAAUUAGAAUGGCUCUUAUGAAAGACAAAAAGACCAAAAAAUCUUGAAAUAAGAUUAAAGACUAGAAAGAUAUUUAUAAGAAUAAAAAAGGCUUUAUUCUUGCAUCCUUGUAUACUAUCUAAUUAAAACCACAUGACAAUAUUCUAAAAAAACUUUGAUAUGUGUCUAAUUUGUAAGACACAUAUUUUAAUUUGCAAGAUAAAUUUCACAUAUAUGCACCACAUUGUUAACUUGUACAAGAAGCUACAAACACAUGCAAUACAUGGCUAAUUUAUUGGCCAAGUUUUUAACCUAUUAAUCACCUAUAGACAUGUAUAAAUGUAAAAUCACGUCUAUAAAGCUUCUAAAAUGCUUUUUUAUAAUAUAUUAUUAAAUUUAUAUAUUUAUUUAUUUAUAAUAUCUAAAUGAUUAUUAGAAUAUAUAUAUAUAUAUAUAUAUAUAUAUAUAUAUAUAUAUAUAUAUUUGACAUUAUUCUCUCUUUUAAGGAUGUAUUUCACGAAAAAUAAUGAUCAUAUAUUAAAAAAUUUAAAGAUGCGACAAAUUGUAUUUGUCUCAUAUUUUGAUUUUUAUUUAUUUUUUUAUUUUUUUAAAGAUAGUUGAAAGAUCCUCUCAAACAUUGAUAAUGUUUCAUUCUAAGAUAAGAAAACCAUUGUAUUAUUUGAUCAUUAUGGAGACCUUUAUAACUUCUUUCAAACAAAAUAUUUGAAAUAAAAUCAAGAAUUGUUCUUACUUCUAAUAAAAUCAUUUAACAUUAAAAAUAUCUUCCAAUAUUGUGAUAUCAAAUGCAUUAUAUCUUGCCAUCUAUUUGAAAAAGAACAUGUCAUUUUUGAAGGUAUUCAUCUCAAUUAUAUCAUUUUAAAGUUUGUAAUAUUUAUAAUAUUAUGUCUAAUAAUUAGCAAAUAAUUAUUCUUGAAUUGAAUUUAUUGGCUAUUGAUUUUCUAUCUCUUUAGUAUUACAAAUACAAAAAACUAUAAACAAGAAUAGAAGAUAGAAUGCAAUUUUUUUUAAGCCAUGUUUUUUUUUAUAGCAAAGAUUUUCUAUCCUUUAUCUUAGUUUGAAUAAUAUGGAGAAGUUUUUGAUCUUGAACAAAUGCCACAUAAUUGUACAAAUUUUAUAAUUUCCUUUUAUAUUUGAGGCCACAAAAAAUCUCUAAAUAUUAAUUCUCAAGUUUUAUUGUAUAUAAAAUAUCUAAUUCUUGGGAAGUAAAAAUAAGCUUAAAAAAUACAUAAUCAUGCUUUGUCUUUAAGAAUGUAUAAUCAUGACUUAAAAAUAUAGUAGAUUAAUCUUGAUUUCAAACUUAGAAGUAUCACAAGAUUUAAAAGAAUUAUUUUUAAUAUGAUGAAUAAAAAGAUCAAAAGACAUUCAAUUGAACUUACUUGAAAAAGGUUAAAUCAAUAGUUAAUUUUGAUUUCAUAAUUUAAAUAUGAAAAUAGUUUUACUUCAAGAAAAUCAUCUUUUUUUUUUUAAUCAAAAUAUGCAUUUUUUUAGUAAAAAAUAGGAACAUUUAGAAAGAGCUUUGUGAAUUCUAUCAAUACAUCUUAAUUAGAGGAUUUGUUAAAAAUAUAAUUUUAAGUCAUUUAAUCAUAUAAAUAUUAAGAUUUUUUUAACUAUUUAGGUAUUUAUUAUAAUUUAUAAUUAUUUAUAAAUUACAAAAGUCUUAUUAGAAAAAAAGUCAUAAAAAUGGAGUCUUUACAAAUUUUGGAGGUAAUUAUCUUAGUUGAUUUAAUAUUUUUAUUUAUUGUUAAAUAUUAAAGAUUAGUUAUUGAGACUAAUGUCUUCAUUGGUCUCUUGUUUAUAUGUAUUACUUAUAAAAAUCCUAUCAAUGAUUAGUUAGUAGUUAGAAGAAGCAUAAAAAAAAAACUUCAUAUCUUUUUAAUCAAUUAUAUAGAAGAUAGGAUUUUUAGUGGAUAUAGAUUGAUUUUAUUACUUUAUAAAAUAAAAGAUAGAAAAAUACAGACUUACAUAGAUUUUAGUAUUAUAAAAAUAUUAUAAUAUUUUUUAAAAUUUAUUUAGAAAUUUUUAGGAAUUUUAGAGAAAAAUUCAAGAUCUAGAUAAAAGUAAGUUUUAUCACCUUGGAAGCCAUUAUAAAAAAAUGGAACAAGAUUUGAAGGCCUUAAAAGGUUUUUAGGCUAUUUGAAUAUUUUUUAAUAUUAUGAUGAAGUCAAAAAUUCAAAAAUAUGAGUUCUACUAGUAGAAAAUAUGAUGACCAUCAACUAGUCUAAUCUUUCUAAGCAAGGAGGUACAUAAGUCUUACAUAAGUUGUAGCAUCUUGGAUGUAGGUAGGAAGAUAAGAUUAAGGCCUUGAGACUUCUUUAGGUACCCCAUAUAUAUUAUAUGUGAGCCUUAAUGAAGCUCGAAUCUUUGAUCUAAAAGUAAGUUAUCUUUGAGGUAUAAUAUUUUUACUUAACUUUUCAAUUAUUCAUUUUUUUAUCUUUAUACUUUUAUAACUUAUUCAUAAUAAUUUGAAAUUAUAUGUUUCUUAUGUCUUUAAUAAAACCAUCUAUCUAAAAAUAUAUUCUAAUAAUAUUUAUUUUUAUUUUUAUUAGAUAAAAAUUUAAUUAAUAGAUCAUAGACUAUUUUUAUUAUAUACAAUUAUUUGAUUAUACUUAUUUUACUUAUUUUAUAUUUAUUUUAUUUUAUUUAUUUUAUUUAUUAUUAUAUCUUAUAAUUUAUACCAAAAAUUAUAAAUAAAUCUUAAUUGAUGCCAUCUUGUAAUUUGGAUUGAUGGUGAAAUUUAUCCUCAUAAGUGUUUGACAAAUCUAGUUGUUUAUUGGAUCCAUAAGUGAUUUUAAAAUCAAAUCUUGAUAAGGAUAUGCUCCAACAAGCUUGGUGAAGAUUCAAAAUACAAGCCAAUAUAAAGUAUAUAAAGAUCUUAUGAUUUGUAUAUACAAUGAAUAGAUUAAAAGUGCCUUCUAUAUAAUGAUGCCAUUCUUCAAAUGAAUCCACAAUUGCAAGGACUUCUUUGUUGUGGAUGUUAUAGUCAAUUUCCAUUAUUAAUUUUUUUUUUAAAAAUAGAAAGCUAUGUAAUAGAUUUUAUUAUCUAUGCUAAUUUGUGCCAAAAUUGUAUCCAUAGCAAAGUUUGAUGUGUUUGUUUCUAUAAAGAAUGCUUUGAAAAAGUCAAUAUAAUAUAAGAUUAGUGCAAAAAAAAAUGACAACUUUAAGGCUUCCAAAGAUGCUUUAGUUUAUUUGUUCCAUUCAAGUUUUUCUUUAUGUGUCAAGUAUAUAAGAAGAGCUACAACUUGAGAAAAGUUUUUGAUGAAUAUAUAGUAAUAAUUGGCAAAUUUUAAAAAACCUCAUACAUCUAUGACUAUUUUUGAAAUCUUUCAAUCUAUGAUAGUUUGGACCUUCUUAAGAUCCACCAUAAGACAAUGAUGUACCUUAAGAAGUCAACUUGAGUAGUAUCAAAUAUAUAUAUUUUUUAUUUUAAUAUAAAAUCUUACAUCUUUAGAUUUUGUAACAUACAAUGAACAUAAAAUUCAUAUUCUUGUAUGAUCUUAGAAUAAAUUAAAGUGUUGUCUAAAUAAUAGAUGACAAAGUCAUUAAGAAAUUCAUAGAAGACAUCAUUCAUUAGAUGUUAAAAAGCAACUAGUACAUUUAUGAGUCUUACAUGCAUGACAUUAUAUUUGAAAUAUCUAUAUUUGAUUUAAAAUAUAAUUUUCUAUUCAUAUUUUUUUUAAUGCAUACUAGAUUGUAUGCUCUUCAUAGAUCUAUUUUAAUAUAGAUUUUUACUUAAUAAAAUUGUGUGAAGAUAAAUUUCACUUUUUAAUCCAAAUUAUAAGAUGGCUUUAAUUAAGAGUUGCUUGCAUUUAGUAGUGUGAAGUAAAAGAAGAAAAUAGCAAUAAAAAAGGAAGAUAAAAUAUAAAACAAAUUAAAUAAGAAAAAUCAAGAAAUUAUACAAUCCAAAACUUGACCAUAGUUUAUUUUUUGAAUUUUUAUCUAAUAAUUAGUAAAAAAAACUUUAAAAUCUAUUUAAAAAAAAAUUAUCUUUCUAAUGAUAUAAAAAAUACAUAAAUCCGAAUUAUUAUAAAUAAAUUAUAAAGGUUUUAAAAUAACAAGUAAAUAAAUAAAAAGUUAAAUAAAAAUAUUUUACUUCAAUGAUAACUUGUUUAUAGAUCAAGGAUUUGAGCCUUAGUAAAGCUCACAUGUAGUAUGUAUAGGUUCCUAAGAGAGGCAACGAGGCCUUGGUAUUAUCUUCUUAAUUACCUUCAAGGUGCUAUAACAUACGUAAAAUAGAUAUUAGUUCGUUUCUGUAAGAUAUUGAUAAAAUAGACUAAUAGUCUAUAGAAUAGUCAGUUUAGGAAGACGGAUGAUUGAUUUAGUUAUUAAAAGUGAUUAGUUACAAAAUUAUGAUUAGAAUUUAGGAAUCAAGAGCGAUUAUAUAAAAGUUUUAGAAGUUUGUUGGGGUGCCAGAUUGUGAUAGUCAUGAGUCAGGGUAAGCUUGGUGCUACCUCUUUGUUUCUUUGUUUUUUUUGUUGUUGAAGAGUAAUGGAUAGUUUCUGAAUAUUGAGAAGUGAAUCUAUGGAAUAAAUCAGAGAUUGAUUUAUGAGUUAUUGAUUAUGUAAUUGGAGUAUUGAGUGAUUGAAUUAUAUGAAGAGUUAUUGGAAGAUUAUGAUUGUUGUUUAUUGAGAGCUGUAUGUGUUUUGGACAAAGAAAGUUGGUAAUUACAGAAAUUUUGUGAAUUCAGAUUGGUUGGAGUGAAGUCUGUUAUUUCUAGUGUUGGAUGGAAAUUGUGUGUUUUGAGCGGUCUUUUGAGAGUGUAGGAUUGCACACUGUUAUUAUCAGUUGAUGAAGAAGUAUUAUUACUGGGAGAAAGUAUUGUAGUAUUUUUUAGUGUUUUAGUGGUUUGGAAUACGGUUAAUUGUGAGAUCCUAACAAGCAAAAUUCAUACACUUAGUCUUUUCCUGUGUUCGAAUUCCCAUAUAUAGGUUUAUUCUGAAAGAAACUGUAGAAUAAGUAAAACGACAAUCACAUUUUAGCACUGCUACCGGGGAUAGACAAUAGCAUUGAGUGUUAGGAAUUAACUAUCGAUUUAGUUAGAUGAGAGAUAGGAAGCAAAUUCAGUAGAAUAUAAUGAAAGAAUAUGGUUAUUAAGAAUGAGAACUUAACAGUAAAGAGAAUAUGAUAGUCGAAAGAAAGAAUAGAGAGAUUGCAAGCAAGAAAUUUAUUACGUAAUGAGCAAGAACGGAAGUUAAAAAGGAAUCAUCAAAAAAGUUGGUUUAAACCAUGGUUGCAUGCCUGUCGGCAUAUCCGAGUAUAUUCAGAAGCUGAUCAACAUCAAAUAUUUUAACAAUAUAUACCGUUAGAGAAAUUACAAAGAGCACUCAUAGAAAAUUUGGUCAAUAGACUAGUAUUUUCCUUGAGGCCGUUAAUUGCAAGUGGGAGAAUCACAGAAGAAUUGGGUAUUCUAUUGGAUAUGUUUCUAAUAACAAAAGCUUUUAAUUCUAUCAAAACUAGUUCCGUAGAAUAGCAUAAAUUACUGAUCAAUAAGAACCAAUUUAGUGUAUUUCAAAAUCCAUCAUUUUCACCCCUAAUUCAAUCGACUAACUUAGUAAAAGACAAUAAUAGGAAAUUGAGGAAACCUGAAAAUUUAGAACAAUCAAUUAGGAAAGGCGCCACUUGUUUUGACAAAAGAUUAAGUAAAACAUUAUUUUUUUCAAUGGCAAUGGGGGGUCCAGCGGUUCCAAUAGCAGUACAAAUGGGUGACAUGAGCGAUCGUAUAAUGAACGUGGCUCCAUUACCUAUUUUUAGGGAUUUUUUGGAUACAAAUCUUGAUCAACAUUUAUCUUAGUUUUUGACAACAUGUGUAGCCAAUAAUGGAAGAACUGAAGAUAUUUGGUUACGAUGGUUGCUAGCAACCUUAAAAGACACAACGUUUGAAUAGUAUAACUGUCAACCAGUGGGUCAAUUUUUCAAUUGAGAAGCAUUAAAAAAUACAUUUUUAAUCUAUUUUUGUCCAAUUGGUUUUGAGGAUCAACUUCGAGAAAGAUUAAUGACUAGCAAAAUGGGUCCAGGAGAGGCAAUGGAAUCAUACUAUGAUCGUGUGGCAGAUAUACUCCGCAAGUGGCCAAAUCACCAAAUGUCAGAGGCUUUUCUAUUGUCCAUAUUAAUCAACGGAUUGCACCCACCUAAAUUAAAAAUGUUUGUAAAAGAGGCUCAACUAAAUACGGUAACUGCAUCUUUCAAUAAAGCCAAUGUUUGGAAAGAAUACCAUUAUGAUCAAUUUUUAAUUGCGGGUGCCACGAUGAUUCCAGUUCAAGGCAGCUAUCAAAAUUUGACUUGGAACAGAUGAGUGGAUAGUUAUCCAUGGAUGUUAGAAACAGUGGCUAAUUUCAGUGCCAAUAUUCAGGGACCAGUUAAUGUCACUCCAUUGCAAGCUAUACCAUCUAACGUGACAACAACGUAGACUCCAUAUUUUCUAUAUCAACAACAAGUGGCAGAGUUAUCAAUAAUAUUAGCUCAAAAGAUUCCAAUGAAGCCUUGUUAUUAAAUUUGAUGAAGAAAAUGGAAGAAAUGUCCGUUAAUACGGUCAAGGAUAAGGAGAAGUGGCACAAGCCUACCAAUACUAGGACCAAUGUAUGGUGCAGUAAUUGUAAGGGCCAUGGUCAUUUGGUAACAGAAUGCCCUUCACCAUCACAAAUGAUAGGUCAAUGUACAUUUUGUGGAAGAAAGCACUCAACACCUAAUUGUUGGAAUUGGCAAAGGCAACAACAAUUCAAUAAUUAGACCAUGAUCCCACCGAUUCAGUGGAAUGUCAAUCAAGUUCAAACGGGAAAUAGAUUUGGAUGGAAUAGAAAUCGAUCUUAUUGAUAAAAUGGAGCAUUCAAUAACUUUCAAAGUUCCAAUUUUAAUUAGGGGUCUACAUCAAACCUCCAGAACUAUGGAAAAGAGCAGCAGAGGUAUCAGCAAUAUGCCCCAUCGGCGUCAUCAAACCAAAUACCUUCCAUACCAAUGGGACAACCAGGAUCAUUUUCUAAUCCUACAUGAAAUAAGCUUAGUAGGUAUAUACCAAUGGAGACAUCCAAUAUGCCAAAUGGAAGUGCAAGAAGACCACUUCGUUAUUUCUGUUGCAGACAGAUUCGUCAUUAUGCUAGUGAAUGUCCCAAUCUUAGAGCGAGUGAUGAUUAUGUGCUAGUGUAUGGAAAUUACAAAUAGUCGAGGCAUACUUAUCAGUAAUAUAAUGCUCCGUUUAAUUUCAAUAAUCGAGAUCAACAGAUCCAAAACCAAAGAAAAAUUGAGGAGAUAAAUCAAGGUUCUCAAGAUUCUCCGAUAAAUCAUGUGGAAUGUGUCCAAGCCAUUCUUACCAAGAGACAGCAAAAGAGGAAAGGACCAAUCCAACAUUUGGGUGAGUUUGAUGCAAAGGGCCAAUUUGAUCCAAUUACGGGGACAUCCAAUCCAUGUCCUAUUACGAGCUUUUUAUCCAUUCUGAGACCUGACUCAAUUGGAUAACCCAAUAAGGUCUCAAUUACAGAGGCUUUGAUUAUGUUUCAAGCUGUUCCGUUCUCUACGCAAUUUUGAGAAACGUCCUAUCAAUUGAAAGAUCCUCUUGGGGGCAUAAAUUCCAAGGAAGCUCUGGCUACUGUUUCAAUUCUAAAUCUAGGACGAAAAAAUAUCUUACCUCAUGGAGUUAAACUUAAACCAAUGAAAAGAAAGAGGAUAUUAGAAAUUACCUUAAAUAUGGAACCCUAUGAUAUUUUGAAGGAUCUGGAUGCUAUUCAGCCUUCUAUUUCUAUGAAGCAACUUCUAGCGGUUGCACUAGAAUAUUUUUCUACAUUAAAUUUAUCGUUAACACGGCAUAGGCAACGUAAUAAAGAAGUUUGUGAAGUCAGUUUGAACCCUCAUCCAAGUGCACCAACCAUCAAUGUUUCAAUUGACGGUAUUAUGAUCUCGGGUGUUCAAGUGGAUGGUGGUUCCAGCAUCAAUUUAAUGAACGCUAAUACAAUGGAUGCUUUAGAUUUGGAAUACUUAGUAUCCACAAUAUUGGUAUUAAUGAUGGCAGAUCAUAGCCAGGUUAAACCAAUGGAUAUUUUAUGGAGUGUUUAAACUAUAAUUACUGCUAUUGUGUAUGAAAUCGACUAUAUUAUCUUUCGGUUACAAUGAUUAACUUUAUUAUAUCCAAUUUUAUUGGGACGACCAUGACUUUAUCAAACGAAGGCCAAGAAUAAUUAGAGUCAGGAUACUUUGACAAUUGGCAAGGGUGGAGAUAAAAAGGUGUUACAAAUGUAUCCAAUACACUAUUACGGGGAGUCUCAAUUGCCAACAUUUGAAUUGACAUUGGACAAUGAGCUUAGCUCUGAUGAUGAUGCAAUAGCACUAAUUAUGGAGGCAUCCGUGGAAGCAAUCCAAUACUCUAGAGUGGUAUACCAAUGUGGUGGUACGGAGGAGUACUUGAUAUACCCGUCAGAUUCAAAAAUCUCUGCUAAAGUUAGUAUUGAUUGGAUGAUCAAGUAUGAUGUGCACCAUGUGAGUGCCUUGGACACAAGAUUCAGUACUUCACACAUAUCGGACUUAUCGACUAAUUUGAAAUCCACGCGAGAGUUGAAACUAAACAUCGUCGCUGCACCUUUAUAUCAAACUAUCAACUUGGUGACUACAGUAGAGCCUCGGACAAUUAAGGUCUACAAAGGUAUUAAGGAAUAGGAGUUGAUCUGCUAGACAAAAUUUUUCUUGCAUCAUAAAUCAGCUUUUGCUUGGACUUAUGAUGAUCUAAAAGGUAUCUUCUGUGAAGUCUGUGAGCAUCAUAUCAUUUUAGAGGAGAACACUAAAUUGGUACAGCAGAGACAACAUUGCCUUAAUCCUAAAUAUUCUCUCAUGGUGAAGGAGGAAUUAGACAAGCUUCUUGCGGUUGGUUUUAUUUAUCCAGUAUCAAAUAUUGAGUGGAUUUUUUCAAUUGUGAUGGUGUCGAAAAAGAACAAAAAAAUCCAAAUUUUUCAAGAUUUCUAGAAACUUAAUGCGGCUACAAAAAAAGAUUACAUCCCACUAUUUUUUACGGAUAGUAUGGAUAACAUGUUGUCAUUAUCACCAAGUAGUAAAAGAAUAAGAGUGGGGCACUAGUUAAAGUCAUUGUUUAGUGUUGUUUUGGAUUGCUUGGAGUGCCAUUUCUUGUGUUUCUUGUGUAUUCAAAAGUAGUAGUUCCAGUUAAGAGUUAACAGUGAAGAGUCGGUCACAAGUGUCAAUUGAAGAUGUUCCAGAAUGGUUGAGUCAGCAGCAGCAUCAAUUGGAACUUUGGGAUAUCCAGAUCUUGAAAUUAGAGGCUUAAGUUAGUGAAUUGGGAGAGUAUAAUAAAGAUCUCUCAAACCAGUUGAGAAAGGAAUCGAUGGAAGGAUUGGACGAGGACGCUGCUCAGAUAGGAAUGGGGCUAUGUAGAAUAGAUAUUAAUUCGUUUCUAUAAGAUAUUGAUAAAAUAGACUAAUAAUCCAUAGAAUAGUCAGUUUAGGAGGACGGAUGAUUGAUUUAGUUAUUAAAAGUAAUUAAUUAGAGAAUUAUGAUUAAAAUCUAGGAAUCAAGAGCAAUUAUAUAAAAGUUGUAGAAGUUUGUUGGAGUGCCAGAUUGUGAUAGUCAUGAGUCAGGGUAAGCUUGGUGCUACCUCUUUGUUUCUUUGUUUUUUUUGUUGUUGAAGAGUAAUGGAUAGUUUCUGAAUAUUGAGAAGUGAAUCUGUGGAAUAAAUCAGAGAUUGAUUUAUAAGUUAUUGAUUAUGUAAUUGGAGUAUUGAGUGAUUGAAUUAUAUGAAGAGUUAUUGGAAGAUUAUGAUUGUUGUUUAUUGAGAGCUGUAUGUGUUUUGGACAAAGAAAGUUGGUAAUUACAGAAAUUUUGUGAAUUCAGAUUGGUUGGAGUGAAGUCUGUUAUUUCUAGUGUUGGAUGGAAAUUGUGUGUUUUGAGCGGUCUUUUGAGAAUGUAGGAUUGCACACUGUUGUUAUCAAUUGAUGAAGGAGUAUUGUUACUGGAAGAAAGUAUUGUAGUGUUUUUUAGUGUUUUAGUGGUUUUGAAUACGGUUAAUUGUGAGAUCCUAACAAGCAAAAUUCAUACACUUAGUCUUUUCCUGUGUUCGAAUUCCCAUAUAUAGGUUUAUUCUGAAAGGAACUGUAGAAUAAGUAAAACGAAAAUCACAACAUAUAUUAGAUUUAUACACCUCUUUUUUUACAUGGACUACAAUAGCUAUUAGUUAUCCUAUUUUCUAUUCAUAGAUCAAAUAUUUUUGCAUUCUUGACUUUACCAUGGUGUUCAAAAACAUCCAAUUAGCUAAAGAACCUUGUGUGGCCUUUGAUUCUUGUGUAUUUCUUCAUAAUGGCUUCCAAAGUACUAAAAUCUAUUUUUAUCAAAGUCUUAAAAAUUAUUCUAAAAUUUCUAAAUAAGUUCUUAAUAAAUUCUAAAUAAAUUCUAAAAAUUUCUAAUAUGAUUCUAUAAUUUUAAUAUCAAUUUAAUUCUAUAAUUUCCUAUCUUGAUAAUUUUUUAUAGUCAUAAAAUCAAUUUAAAUCCAUUAUAAAUCCUACUUUCUAUAUAAAUAAUUAAAAAGACUUGAGAUUCUUUUUCAUGCUUCUUUUAACUACUAAUUAAUAUUUAUAGUUUUUUAUAAGUAAUACAUAUAGAUUGAAGGCCAAUGUAAAUAUUGAUCUUAAUAAAUAAUCCUCAUUACUCAAUAAUAAGUAAAAAUACUAAAUCAACUAAGUUAAUUACCUCCAAGACUUAUUAAGAUUCUAUUUUUAUAACUAAUAUUUUAAUUUUCUAUUUAUUUAAGGAUUUUAAUACUAUUUACAAUAUAAUGUGAUUUUAAGGACUCGAAAUGUAUUCUUUUGUCUUAAAACAACUAGUGUGUCUAUUUAAUGACUUAUAAGUUGAUCAAAAAGUCUUGAAAUCAAAAGUAGAUGGUACAUAUCCUUAAUGUUGAUCUUGUUGAAUCCUUGAUAGUUCACACACAUCCAUAAAGAUUCAUCUUUUUUCUUUUCAAAUAAGAUGAGAGUCUCUAUUGAAAAUUUAAAGUGACAUAUGAAGUUCUUAUUUGAGUUUUUAUUAAUACAUUCUUUGAAUACAAUCAACUUGUUUUGUGAUAGGUUAUAAAUUAUUUUUUGAUAGAAUCUUUGUAUAUAAAAUAGAAUGCACAUUGUGAAUCUAAAAAGACUAAGAUUUUGUGAUUUUUUGGUCCUAAAUAAAUUUCUACUAUAAAUCAAGAUGAAGAAUCUAAGGAAAAAAUAAGACUUUUGCUAGAUAUUAUGCAAGAUCUAGUAGCACGAUCCUUAUUUUUCCUAGAGAGACUUAUUUUCUAAUACAUUGUCUUCUUUGGCAAUCAUGUUUUUUUUAUUUUGUAGAUGAAUACUUCUUUAGAUAAUAUUGAGCAAUGUGCUUAGAUUUUCCAUCAUAUAGAUACAACCCUUUUUAAUAAUAUUGAAUCUUUUCUUGCUUAUUAAGAAGUUUGAAUAUAUCGUUUCAAUUUGCAUAGAUUGCAAUAUUAAUAAAUAAACUUUUAUAAACUUAGAAUUCAUUGCUAUGACUUGACUUAUAUUCCUUCAAUCAAAUCUUUGUUCUUGGCAUCUUUUAAAGAGAUAAUUAUUGCAUGGAAUAGCUUAAGCAAUAAAUUACUUUAAUAAAUCUAUUUUUAGUAUUAUUAAUAAAAAAUCUUUGAUAUUAAAUUUUAAUCCAUGUAGAAAUUUAUUGAUAAUAUUUUUAGCAUUUUGAUCUCCAUCUUAAGUAAGGUUUUGGAAUUUAUUAUUAUAUAUGGUAGCUAAAUAUGAUUUUUUAUUAUAAAUUAUAAAUUUGGUCUUUUUUAUCUUUUUUCAAUCAUUUUUUUUAAAUAUGAUUAUUAAGACUUUUGAUAAUACAUUUAAAUUUAAAAAUAGUCAUAAAUUCUUUUCUAUUAAAGGUGUAAACAAAGAAAGAACACUCUAACAGAGAAGUGUACCUAUGAAUCCAACUUCAAUAAAUUCAUAAGAGUAUUAAAAAAGAUGCAACUUUAGAUAGAACUUUAUUUGUUGUAGAAAUCUUCAAAACUUUGAUCUUCUUCCAUCAAACUUUUUUGGCAUACUUAUCUUUACCUCCUUUAUACUUUUAAUAGUAAGAUUUUUUGGAUUUAGUUGUGAACUUCAUUUGCUUACUUCUUUCAAUUGUAGAACUUUUUAUUAUAGACUUUAAACAUCAUUGUUGACUUCUUUCAUAGGUAUUGGAAUACUACUUCCAUAGUUGAGAUUUUGACCUUGAGAGUAUUGUCAAGCUUAUAAAAAAUUGUAAUAGUUGAAAAUCUAUUUUCACUUUUAGUGAGAGUAACAUCUAUAAUUUUUUCUUUUAUAGAUAAAUCAAAUAAAUCUAUAAGUUAUAUUAGAGAAGGAUAAUUUUUAACUUCUAAUAUCAAAUAAAAAUUUCUAUAAAGAAUGGUAAUGUACUUUUUUAAGGAAAAAAUCACUAUUCAAAAACUAAAAUGUUAAAUUGAAGGUGGAUAGUUUGCAAUCUUUAAAAUACAAUAAUAGAGGCAGGAUAGUCCACUCACUUCUAAAAAAAAGACAAGAAAAAUAAGUUAGUUGUCUUGUCAAACUAUCAAGGAUAUGAAUCUCUAACAAAUAAAAAUUCAAAUACUCUUAUAUAAUUCAAUAAGAAUUGAUAUUUACUAAAAACUAAUAUUGCAUUGAAAUUAGAAUGGCUAUUGCCAAAGACAAAAAUACUAAAAAAUCUUGAAAUAAGACUAAGGAUUAAAAUAAUUUUAAAAUAAAAUAAUUUUAAGUUGAUAUGAGUAAAGAAGACUUCAUUCUUACCUCUAUAUAUACUAUCUAACUAAAAUCUUCAUAACAACAUUCUAUAGGACUUUUGACAUGUGUUUAAUUUACAAGUCAUAUGUCUUAACUUACAAGACAAGUUUUUUAUAUGUGUACCACAUUGAAAGCUUAUACCAUAAGCUAUCAAUACAUACAACAUGUGACUUAUUUUUUGGCCAAGUUUUUAAUCUAUCAAUCACCUAUAGACAUGUAUAUAGAUAAAAUUUUAUCUAUAAAGCUUUUAAAAAGCUUUCUUAUAAAAUAUUAUUAAAUUAAUUAAUUUUUAUUUAUUCAUAAUAUAUAGGUAAUUAAUAGAAUAAAUAUAUAUAUCCAUAAUAGAUAGUUUUGGAUAAAAUGGAAUAACAUCCCUAUUAUCAAUAACCAAUUUUCAAACUUCAAAAGUUCUUCUAUCAUUUUAUCAUCAAUAUUAGAAAUAUCCAUCGAAAUCUAUUAUUAUUUCUUCUACAAAUAUUUUUAAGUAUUUCUUUAUACAACAAGUAGCUUCUAUAUAAGAUGCUUGAAGAUUCUAUAUUUAACAUAAAUUAUAUACCAUGCAUUGUAGAAUAAAUUCAAAUAACUCUUGAUCAUUGUCUUUAUUUGGAAAUUUUGUAAAAACCAUAUGAUGUACAUCUAUAGUGCAUCUAAUUUUUUUUUUUAUCCAAAAAAUUCAAAAUAUAUAUAUAUAUAUAUAUAUAUAUAUAUAUAUAUAUAUAUAUGACAUAUACCUCUCUUUUGAAAUUCAAUGGUAUAAAUAUAUGCAACAACAUGAUUAAAAAUAUAUAUAUAUUUUUUUAUCUUCUAAAAUUACAUAUUUUUUUAGCUCAAAUAUACUAGCAAUCAAAUCUAGAUGAUUUCUUAUUUGUUGUCACUAAAGUAAUUCAUUUUGGAUUUUGUACCAUCUUAUAUUUCUUAUCAUUUUCAUAAAAAUAUUAGGAUGUUGAUAAAACCUUAUAAUUAACAUAGAAUUUUAAAGUAUUUCCAUCAUAUGCCUUACACUUCUAAUGUGUGAUGAUGGAAGUAAGAUCAUGCAUCCUAAAUUAUUUGAUUUAUAUUCUCUUUCUUUAGGCUCGAUACUUUGAUGAGUUAUGACAACAUCUAUCAAUCCUUGGUACAAAUCAACAUGUAGAUUUCUUAGAUUAUAAUAUAGAUAUUGCAAAUUUGAUUGAUUAGUUGCUACCUAUCUAUCAACCAUAAAUUAUUGCAAUAGCUUUCUUCUAUGUAAAAUUGUGAAAUAUUUAAUAGGACUUAAAAAUAGUCAAUAAGUAAAAUAAUCUAUUUAUACAAGGUUGUUGCUUCUCCAAUCUUCUUGUCUUGCACCUUCUUUUUUUUCAACAAUAUCUAUCAUUACAUUUUGUGUCGUUAAACAAAGAUGCCAUCUAAGGAUUUUAUGCAAAAAAAAUAAUAAUAUAGUAAAGAGACAAAUAAGUAGAAUGAGCCUCAUGAAUCUUUUCUAAUAAAUCUAUUACAAUAUAGGUAAAUAAUAAUAUAGAGAAGUGUAUUAGACUUUGAUCCAUGUCCAAAAAAUAUUAUAGAAAUUUUUUCAAAGUGAUAAGAAGAUAAUAUUGGCAUCUAUUGGUCUAAUUCAUGAAGUGCAAAGAAACUACAAGAUCCACUUCUACUGCUCCUUCAUUCUAUGCUUGAGAUAGUAUUUCAUAUGUAUGUCUAUAUGAUUUAAUAAAUGGAUUUUUCUUCUUCAAAACUUCUCCAAUUGCUUACAUAGUUUGGCUCAAUAAAUCUCGAUUAUAUUCUAUUCUUUUAUCUUGAAUAAAUGAUGCACUGUAGAUAUAAAGUUGUACAUAAGUUGAAUCAAUACCUAUUUUUGGUAACGAUGCUCUUGCCAAAUGGUGUAACUCUUUAUUUACUCUAAAAUUUUAUAGAAUAUUUUUUUGAAGCACAAAUCAAUCAAUAUUUACAUCUAAGGAUAUAAAUACAUAUGUAACAUUGUACUAAUAGAUAUUUCCUUAAAAUUUCCUUGUUCUUGUGUCUUGGUCUUCAAAUAAGCAUUUCAAAUGCAAAGACAGAGAAAUUAGAAAUGAUAGAAAAACUUUUCCUUGAAAAAGAUUCUUUCUAAAUAUUAUUAACUUCUUUGAAGAUUGGACUAGAUCUUUAUCAAAUCAAUGCAAUGAGUUACAAUGAGAACAAAAAACAUUUAGUCUACCUAGAUUAUGUACACCUUCAGCACUUAUCAUUAUAAUCUUUCUUCAAUCUCUCUCUUUGCAAUCAUUUAUAACUAUUUCAGCUUCUUUUUGUACUCUCAUAUGUUCUUUACGUGGUCAUAAAGAAAUUGCUUUCUAAUUUAUUUUAAUCAUUGUCAAAGUUAGACCAUUCAUUGUAGCAUAGGUUCUACCAAAUAAUUGAAAUCAACUUAUAAGCAUCAAAAUUAUACCUACAUAAAUUUUCAAUAAAAUUUUAUUAUUCAAAUAUUUUAGCAAGAUUAAAUAAUACUUGUAAAAUAAAAAUAAGUGAACAUAGCUUAAUUAGUCAAAAUAUAAUGCCACAAUGAUUUAAAAAAAAUUAUAUCCAUGCAUCCUAUUGAUUAUGAUUAUACAUAGUUUUACGAUGACUAGCUAAAAUAAAAAGUUUAAUUUUUCCAAAAUAUUAUAUUUUACAAACUAAAAUGAAUACAUAAAAUAAUAUAUAUAUUUUUAUUUACUAAAUAAUAUAUUAAUAUUUAUUUCUUUACAAAUAUAUAUAUAUAUAUAUAUAUAUAUAUAUAUAUAUAUAUAUAUAUAUAUAUAUAUAUAUAUUUAUUGAAAAAAAUGAUAAAGCAACUCAAAUUUUUAUUAAAGCAACUUACUCUACUUUAAGCAUGAUUGCACUCUUGGAGUUCCAAUUCUUGUUCCUAGUCAUUUUUUGUUUCCAACCAUUGCUAGGGAUUGUCACGGAUAUACUCAUGUAAGCUAGUAAUUAUAUAUAUAAAUAAGUAGAAGUAAGUAAAAGUAGAUAAAAGUAAGUUAAUUCUAUAGUAUUUGAUAUGAAAGUUUUUUAGAAGCUUUAUAGACGCUGCUUUGACUUCAUAGGUGUCUUUAAUUGACUUUUUGGAUUAGAAACGUGGUCAACAAGUUGGCCAUGUGCCACACAUAUUGUUAGCUUGAAGACCAAGCUAACUAUGUGGCCCACAUGUAAAAAAACUUACCUUGUAAGUCAAGGCAAGCGUCCUACGAAGUCAAUAUAUAUUGGAGGUCCUAUAGAACAUCGCCAUGUAACUCCUAGUUAGAUAGUAUAUAUAGAGACAAGAGUGAAGCCUUCUUCACUCUUGACAACUACUUUCUUAUUUCUUGUCUAGUUUCAAGAGUCGUUAUGGUUUCUAGUCUUUAGCAAUAGCCAUUCUAGAUCAAUAUAUUAUCACCUUUGAUUGAUUUCUAAGUAUUUUCGAGUGACACAAGAGUGUAUUGAGAUUUUCUUUCUUUGGAAUUCAUGUCCUUGAUAGUUUGACAAGAGUGCUAACAUAUUAUUUUUGUCUUCUUCUAGAAGUGAGUGGAUUAUCCCACUUCUAUUAUUGUAUUUUGAAGGUUGUUAAAUAUCCACCUUUAAAUAAAAAAUCUUGUUUUCUAACAUUGAUCUUUUCCUUAAAGAGAGUGGAUUAUCCCUCUUUAUGGAAUUUGUUUUUAGAGGUUGUGGAUUACCCUCCUCUUAUUUAACUUUUGAAUUCGUUUGAGUUGUCUAUAGAAAGAAAAAUCAUGGAUGCUACACUUGGUGGAAGUGAAAAUAGAUUUGUAACUAUUGCAGAUCUUCAUGAGUUUGUCAACACUCUUAGGACCAAAAUUUCACGCAUCACCAACAUCAACCAUAGAAGCACUAUUCUAACUACUAUAGAAGAAGUUCAAAGUCUAUGCCAAGAAAUUGUGCAGUUGAAGGAAACAAGUCGAUUAGCCUCACAACCAAAUUCCGGAAGUUUUGCUUCUACAAGCUCGAGGGAGGCAAAGAUUAGUAUGCCUGAAAAGUUUGAUGGAACAAGAUUAAGAUUUCGAGGGUUUUUGUAAUAAAUUAAACUCUACUUAAGGUUGCAUCUUUUCUAAUACCCUCAUGGAUUUACUCAAGUUGGAUUCAUAGGUGCACUUCUAUCUCGAAGUGUUCUUUCUUGGUUUGCAGCUUUGAUGGAAAAGGUUUCACGACUACUCUAUGAUUUGAAGUCAUUCUUGGUAGUAUUUAUGGCUAUAUUUGGAGAAAGUGAUCAAGAAAGGAUAGCAGAGACUAAGCUUAUAUCACUACGACAAGGAUCACGUUCAACCACCACGUAUGCCGCUGAAUUCGAAAGUCUUGCUUGUGAUGUGGAAUGGAAUGAUAAAGCCCUUAUCAAUCAAUUUCGCUAUGGAUUAAAGGAUAAUGUCAAAGAUUUGUUAUUAACAAUGCCAAAAAUAGAUUCUUUAAAAUAAUUCAUUGCUCAAGCUAUUGCAUGUGAUAAUCGUUUAUUUGAAAGACAUCAAGAACAAAGAUAUGAUUGGAGAGAAACAACUCAAGUCAUGGCAACACCUUCUAAGUUUUUGGAAACCUUUCCAUCAAGGCCAGAGCUAAUGUAAAUUGAUACGGUACGUUUUAAAUCCCUCGCUGAGUAGGAAAAGACUAGACAACGUCAAGAGGGCUUAUAUCUAUAUUGAGGAGAAGCUAAACACACUGCUUAACAUUAUCCAAGAAAGCAACGUAAUAACAAAAUGAGGAGUACGAUUGCAAAAGAAGACAAUGUGAUGGAAAACGAGUUCCUUUAGCUACAAUAGGGACCGAGCGGUUGGAACCAUAUGCAAUACGUAGUCAAGGUCUUAUUCUCUCCUAAGAUCCCUCACCUUAUUUUACAAUAGAUGUGUGUUUAGGAUCCAAAAAUCAUAAAGUCUUUGCAUUAUUAGAUUCAAGAGCCUUAGCUUAUUUCAUAGACGAAGACUUUGUCAAAAAACAAGAAAUAUUGUUAGUCAAGAAAAUCAAAUCCAUACAUGUGGAAGUCAUAGAUGGUCGUUCAUUGUCUUCUAGUGAUGUUAUCCAUGAGACUGUUCCUUUAGAUGUAGUAAUUAAAGAUCAUAAUAGUGUAGUAAUAUUUAAUGUGAUACGAUCUCUUUUGAAUUCAGUCAUUUUAGGACUAUCUUGGUUAGAAAAGUACAACCCUCAAAUAGAUUGGAUUUCUUGUAACCUUAACUUUUCUAGUAGUUUAUUUCGAAAUUCUAUUAAUCAAGAAGAAAUACAUAAGUCUAGUACAUCUAAACGCUUACUAAUAGGGGCAAGAGCUUUCAUGCAUGUAGCCAAAGAGGGGUCAUCUUUUGCUUUAUAUGCCACGUCCAUUUCAGAUAGUGAAAAGACAUCAAGUGGUAUUCCUAGCCAAUAUGAAGAAUUCCAAGAUAUUUUUUAGAAGAAGAAUGUAGAUAUUCUUUCCAAAACAUCGACCUUAUGAUUGUUCAAUUGAUCUUCAAGAAGGAGCUCAACCGCCAUUUGGACCAAUCUAUACCUUAUCACAAUACGAGUUGGCUACACAAAAGGAGUAUAUUGACAAGAACUUGGCUAUAAACUUCAUAUGCCAUUCAAAAUCUCCAGCAGGAGCGCCAAUCUUAUUUGUAAAGAAAAAAGAUGGAUCUCUACGGAUAAGUGUAGUCUAUUGGGGCCUUAACAAGAUCACCAUCAAAAAUAGGUAUCCUUUACCUUUGAUUUCAAGACUUCUUGAUCAACUCAAUUAAGCAAAGAUCUAUACAAAAAUAGAUCUACGAGGAGCAUACAACUUGGUCUGCAUCAAAGAAGGAGAUGAAUGGAAGACUACUUUUUGAACUAGGUAUGGACAUUUUGAAUAUAAUGUCAUGCCUUUUGGACUCACAAAUGCACCAACUACUUUUCAACAUCUUAUGAAUGAUGUUUUUUGUGAGUUUUUAAAUGAUUUUGUUGUUUGUUAUUUAGACGACAUUCUAAUCUAUUCUAAAAAUACAGAAGAACAUAAACUCCAUGUUUGUCAUGUGUUACAAAAACUAAGAGAUGCAGGAUUAUAUGCCAAGUUGAAAAAGUGUGUAUUCCACACUACUCAAGUUGACUUUUUAGGAUACAUCAUUUUCAACAAAGGCCUGAUAAUGGAUCCCAAGAAGGUCCAGACUAUCAUAGAUUGGAAGAUUCCAAGAACAGUACGAGAUAUGCAAUGCUUUUUGGGCUUUGCAAAUUACUAUUGAAUCUUCAUCAAGAACUUUUUUCAAAUUGCAGCUCGACUUAUGUGUUUAACUUGUAAAGACAAAUUUAAGUGGAGUAAAGAAGCUAAAGUAGCGUUUGAUGGUUUAAAGAAAAAAAUUACUUCUGCACCAAUCUUGUAUCGCAUCGACUUCUCCAAGGUAUUUUUUAUAGAAACAGUUGCAUCAGACUUUGCUUUGGGUGUCGUUUUGUCAUAAAUAGGAGUAGAUGACAAGCUCCAUCUAGUAGCUUUUUAUUCCAGGAAAUUUUCAGCAAUGAAGAUUAACAAUGAAAUCCACGAUAAAGAGCUUCUUGUAAUUGUGGAUUCAUUUCAAGAAUGGCAUCAUUAUCUAGAAGGCACCUCAAGUCCAAUCACUGUGUACAUGGAUCAUAAAAACCUCAAAUAUUUCAUGUCAGCAUGCAUAUUAAAUUGUCGUCAAGCUUGUUGGAGCAUGUCUUUAUCAAGAUUCAAGUUCAUCAUCACUUAUCGACCAGAAAAAUAAUAAGGUUUGUUUGAUGCCUUGUCUAAACAUUCUUAUCUUGUACCAAAAGAAGGAGAUGUAGCUUUUGAGCAACAAAGAAUGGUUCUCUUGAAGCUAGAGCAAUUUCAUCUUCGAGCAAUAAAAUCAACAUUGAUUGUUGAUUUAACUUUUCUCAAGCAAGUUCAGUUAAGUAUGUCUUUAGACCCUCUUGUUCAUGAUAUCAAGAAUAAUUCUUCUAAAUCUCAUGAUGCCUCUAAAUUCGAAUUCAAGAACAACCUACUCUAUUUUGAAGAAUGUCUAUAUGUUCCAGAAGGAGAAGCACAUUUACGUGUUCAUCAAACUCAUCACGACUUUCUAGCAGCAAGACAUUUUGGAUACAAUAAGACUUUGGAGUUGAUAUCUAGGGAUUUUUGGUGGCCUCAAAUGUGGAAGGCAACUGAAGAUUUUGUACAAUCAUGUGAUGUUUUUUCAAGAUCAAAAACUCCUCAUCAUCGAUCUUUUGGACUUCUUCAGCCAUUAUCCAUUCCAGAACAACCAUGGUCUUUUCUUUCUAUGGACUUCAUCACAAAUCUUCCAAGCUCAGGUUUUUAUGACUCUAUAUUUGUGAUAGUAGAUCGCUUCACCAAGAUGGCAUAUUUUGUGCCAUGUACAAAAUCCAUCACGGGUUAAGAAACAACUAAGCUUUUUAUUGAUAAUAUCUAUCGCUAUCAUGGAUUACCAAAGGAUAUUAUAUCGGAUAGGGGAAUUCAGUUUGUAUCAAGAUUUUGGAAAAUUCUUUUUAAGAUUUUACAAAUGGAUAUAAAACUAUCUUCGGCUUUUCAUCCUCAAACUGACGGAUAGACAUAACAUGUAAACCAAGUCUUGGAGCAAUACUUAAGAUGUACCAUCAACUAUCAACAAGAUGAUUGGACAACUCUUUUGCCAUUCGCACAGUUUGCUUAUAAUAAUACGAUGCAUUCUUCUACACAACAAACACCUUUCUUUGCCAUUUAUGGUUAUCAUCUACAACUUGACAUGUUUGAUUUUUCAAAAGUUGAUAAUCCUGCGGCAGAAGAUAUGGCAAAUCGGUUGUCAAAGUUACAUUCAACAAUGAAGGCGUAAUUAAAAGAAGCUCAAGAAUGACAAAAGAUAAAUACGGAUGUCUAUCAAAAGAAACAACUACCAUUCCACAUGGGCGAUGAGAUAUGGUUACUUCGUCGCAAUAUCAAGAUCACUCGUCCUUAUGAUAAGUUGGACUAUCGAAGGCUUGGACCAUUUUCUAUUUCUGUAGAAAUCAAUCGAGUUGCAUAUCGUUUACAUCUACCAGAGUCAAUAAAAAUCCAUCUAGUAUUCCACGUAUCUCUUUUUGAACCAUACAAGAUAGUGGACAUACCAAGAAGAAGACAAGUUCUACCUCCUCUUAUAGAAGUGGAGAAUAAUGAAGAGUUUGAAGUGAAAGAAGUCAUAGAUUCAACGCUACGUCGAAAUAAAUUGAAAUAUCUUGUCCAUUAGCACAGAUAUGAUAUUAGUGAAUGCACAUGGGAGCCAGUAAAGAAUCUUGUAAAUGCAAUAAAGGCGGUCGAGGCUUUUCAUCGACGACAUGCAUCAAAAUCAAGAUAAAAAUCUUCCUUAUAAAAGAAACAAGAUCUAGAUAAGAUAACAUUCUACUUUUAAUCCUUAUUUGUAGCUUCUUUGUAGUUGUAACGCUAAAGAGAUGGAGAAUCAAUAACUAGCGGAUUUGACUCAAGAGCCUUCAUUUGCUGACCUACCAGACAAGACAUUACGAUUGUCACAACUUUCAAGAUGACACAAUCGAGAUGAAGAUCUUCAAGAACGACAUAUUCUUCUUCAAAUAGAUGGUCAGAUACAACGUAUUUAAUAUCACGACCUUGGAAGAGACUCCCGAUAUUUGGUGAUUUUACUAGAAGUAGAAACAACUCCUGAUGGUGUUCCAAAUGUUUUAUUCAAAGGAAGUAAUGAAGGCCUCAACAAUGAUCAAAUAAUUGGGUGGUCUUCCCGCCUUGGUAUGGGACACUACCGAUGGUUGAGAGGCCCUAUCAAUCAUCUUCGAAGAAAACAAAGAUGAGAGUAUGUGGCGAAUAUAAUUUGUCGCAACAUAUGAUGACCGCUCCCUAUGGAACUCGUCCAUAGAAGGGAGGGUAAUGUCAUGGACAUACUCAUGUAAGCUAGUAAUUACAUAUAUAAAUAAGUAGAAGUAAGUAAAAGUAGAUAAAAGUAAGAUAAUUCUAUAGUAUUUGAUAUGGAAGCUUUCUAGAAGCUUUAUAGACACUGCUUUGACUUCAUAGGUGUCUUUAAUUGACUUUUUGGAUUAGAAACGUGGUCAACAAGUUGGCCAUGUGCCACACAUGUUGUUAGCUUGAAGACCAAGCUAAGUAUGUGGCCUACAUGUAAAAAAACUUGCCUUGUAAGUCAAGGCAAGUGUCCUACAAAGUCAAUACAUAUUGGAGGUCCUAUAGAACAUCGCCACGUAGCCCCUAGUUAGAUAGUAUAUAUAGAGACAAGAGUGAAGCCUUCUUCACUCUUGUCAACUACUUUCUUAUUUCUUGUCUAGUUUCAAGAGUCAUCAUGUUUUCUAGUCUUUGACAAUAGCCAUUCUAGAUCAAUAUAUUAUCACCUUUGAUUGAUUUCUAAGUAUUUUCGAGUGACACAAGAGUGUAUUGAGAUUUUCUUCUUUUGGAGUUCAUGUCCUUGAUAGGGAUGGAGGCUAGAGGUUAGAAAUGUCAAGAACAGAGGCGACUGUUGAGAACAAAGGAGUAGUUGAGAAUAGGAGAAUAGCUUAGGAACGUGGUAUGUGGGUCGAUUGAAUAAAAAUUUGGAUUGCUUUAUCAUUUUCCUAUAUUUAUGCAAAUAAAGUUGAAUUUAAAAAAAUUCACAUAAAAGCAAGGAAUUAAAUUCUUAUAAUUCAAUUUUUAUACAACAAUUCUUAUUGUAAUUGACAAUACUUUUAAAAUUCCAAUAAAACUUUGUUAUUCAAGAAUUUUAUUUAUAAUGAAGAUAUAAUAUGAAAUAUAAUAUAAUAAAUAUACUAUAAGAACUAUAAAAACUAUAAAUAUAAAUAUAAAAACUACAUGUAGAUAAAUUAAGAUAAAAACUAUAAAAAAAAUUAAAUAUAAAAAUAAAAAUUUCUAUAUAUAAAACUAUAAAAUGAAAAAAAUGAUAAAACGAUUUUAUUUCUUGUAAAAUUCUAUAUCUUAUAAAACUUUAAAACUUUAAAACUAUAAAUAUAAAAAUAUAAAGAUAUUUGAUAUAACUAUAAAACUAUAAAAAUACUACAAAUACUAUCUACAGUGAUCAAAUACAAACUGUAAAUACUGUCUUUACAUACUGCAAAUACUGUGUUUACAUACUGAUAAUACUGUGUUUUAAAUACUGGUCCAAGUAAGGAGAGGUCUGUAAAGCUCCAGCUUGUGAACUUCCCAACAUAACUUUGCUGCGAAAACUUCUCGUCGCAACUUUCUUAAUCCCCCAAUUGCGCCCAGGAACGUCGUUUCAAGGGCUGUGAGGAUAAGGCGUAAACUAAACCGCUUAGUAAGUCACAUAUCACAAUCUUCUUUGAUGAAUUGCAAAUCAGAAGUACAGACCUGCACUGAAAUCUAGAUUGUGUGGUUGCAAUGACUCGUAAUAAAUGAGCGUCGUCGUCGUCGAUUGUAAUAAAUGAGCAAACCUGUGGAACCAAAACUCCUACAUCCCUGUGAGCGCCAUCAAACCACAACUCAAAAUUCAUCGCACACAAAAAAUAAAAAUAAAAAUAAAAAAACGAAAAAACUCCGCAGCUGUGAACUCACCAUUCGAACACUUCUGCUAUCUGAAAGAACUCCGACACGUUCACUCAACCACAACCUCUUGACUCAAUCGUGCGCUUCGAAAAAAGCGCAGAUGUGACUCAAACACUGCCAAGGAAGAGUCCGGCAAGCAACUGACAAAUUUAGCUACAGAAUUCAACAACCUUUGUUCCCAACAACGAACAGGGAAAGCCUAUUGUAUCCCGCAACAGGGACGCGCGAUUCUGCCACGUACCGCACACUCGUCAGUGAGAGCGACGCCGAAGCUUCUGUGAACGCCGUUGCCACGGAGUUCGUAAGGCGAUUGCUCCGUCUUAAGCAAAAGCCAAUUUCUUCACUGAUUUCACUGAUUGUGAACUGAAAAUGCUGAUUUUAUCAACAAAUCGAAGUUUACAUCGUCUGUAAGAGAAUUACUCGAUUCAUUGUUAUUAGGUACAGGAUGUGAACCUUCCUAUUUUCAAAGAAUCAAAUUUUCAAAUUUUUUCUCCUAGAUAGUGCUCGUCAAAAUCCACGCCCGUUCCAUGUGACCACGUCGUAAAGCUUGCUGAGCCUUCCCCGAUGUAUUCGCCUUCCAAUGCUUCUUAGACUUCAAGUGAUUUGUACAGCAAAAAUGAAAACAUGAGCACAGAAGCAUACGUUGUAGUUGUUGAUAUAUUCAUAAUAUGUAGAUACCUUUUCCUAUUCAGGAAUUGGAUCGGACCAACUCGGUCCUCACGAAGAAUAGAACUCCACUUGCAUUGGGAACGCUUAUGGGAACUCUUUUAGGAACGUCUUCAGAAAACUUAUCGUCAAAAGCCCUCGUCUCCGUGGCGGCCUGUGCUAACGGAUUCUCUUCCAUAUUACCUCAAUCGCUGCCCGGCAUCCAAAGCUACCCCAGGGACAAAGCCCUGAAGGAUCCUGGCCUGCCCCCUACCUACCCGUAGAAAGAUUCGUCCUGCCCGGCUGAGCGAGAGGUCGAGAAGCAUAAUAAGCUCUCGACUCCUUCAUGCCUUUUUUUCUCGCUUUGCAUUCCAGCCACACCCCCGCAUCGCCGGCCGAUUUCUUGCACUCGUUUUCGCCGUGGUCGCAUUCCUCACCCUUGGCCCCCUUGUCCGGUAUGUGCGCACCUCCCUCCCUCCCGAUCUCAUUUUCGCAUCGUUGUUUUGGGUGCAUGGAUGUUGAUUCUAGGGGUUCGGAGGGUCUUGCAGAGUCGAGUGUUGUUACGAUUCGCAAGUUGUGGGCUGUUGAGAUUUUGGAUAAUAGGUGUUCAGACCAUCUCUGCGAGUUUGGCUUCAUGGCUCCACAUGUGGGUUUGUCUGUGCAUUGUGUAACAUGCAUGUGGACCCGUUCGAUAGUGUUAAGGUCCAGUUUCGGUUUGGGUGUGAAGGAGGGGGUGGUGGUUGUUGGGCUGUUGUCUUAAUGCUGAGGUUGUAGUAACCUAGGUAGGUAUCAUUAAAAGAAUGUUGCGUGCUGCUCAUUAGGAGCCAUGGUGAUUAGUGGCCUUCCUCGGCCUUUUCCCUUGGUUUUUCGAGACGGCUUAGUGCCAGGAGGUGAGGCAUUUUUGUCCCCCUUCCCCCACGACUUAAGAGGCAUAUGAACCUUCAUGAUACUCAUAUUGUUUGAGCGGGCGACGAGAUCGUUGGCUGAGAUAAAGGGUUAGAAGUUGCAGUGGUGAUACACCGUGACGGUUGUUGAGGGAUGGCGUGCUGGUUUUGCUCGUUGUCGAAGCCGUAAAGUGACUAAUCGCGUGUCAUAAAGUUUGAAACCGCAUGUUUGGGUGUGGUGUCUGAAGAUCUAUUCCGGAAUGUAUUUCUGGAUCUGUAAGUACACGAGUAGCGCACAUGUUAAAUGUCGAUUGCUAAAUGCUGCCUUUCUCUUCUUCUCCUCUUCUCUCUCUCUCGCACACAGACACACACAGCGUAGGCUGUGGCAAAUCCGAAUGAAUGGGUCAGCGCACGCUGCAUUAGGACUUCUGAGACACACUUCAGCUUAGAGGGAGCUUUAUCACAUUAGGAGAUAAAGACUCAGUCGUCGUGGUGCAAACCUUCUUUGCCAGGAUGUCAGGCUAUGAGGCAGAAGUGCGUCGUGCCCCUCGCAUAAUAGACAGUUCAAAGGCUAGGUCUUUUUUGAGGUACGGACCGACGCUCUCGGUGUAUAAUGUAGCCUGUCUUUAACCAAAAUUUUCGAAUAGAGAAACACCGUCUUCAAUCUUCAGCACGGUCAUUGCUGUGGUUCGUGGCUUAAGUUAUUUUGAAUCUCUCUCGGAUCGCUUGAAUUCCGUGCCUGUUAUUAGUAUAAUUUUUGGAGCAGCACCAGUUGGUGUCACGAAGGGCGGCCCAAAGAGAGUUGCCCGCUGUUUCCUUCCCUCUACUAUCAUACUACCACCAGGAAACCAUACAUGCAGCAGUCUUCGCCUUGCCCGACUGCUUACAUUUAUUUCUGUUAUUUUAUUCUAUUUUGGAAUCAUGAACGAUAUGCUGAACCUUACACCUUGGGAAAGUUUGAUACCAGUCGUGUUUUAUUGGUCCCACCUCAUCCAAGCUUGUCGAUGAAACCACCCAUCCUCUUGUUGCGAUGUAUGUCUAGUUUAUCCUUCGUUUUCGUGGCACGGGACAAUAUUAGGCGUAGGUACACGUACGUGAAUCUAGUUACAUUUGGAAUUUCACGUUAUUGCUGGAGUUGAGAUUAACAUGAUCUUGCACAGUGUCAUUAGAGAGGGAAUCAAACUAUUUGACGCAACACGGAAAACAAUCUCAGGUUCGUAAACCGCUUAUGGCAUGCAGAAAAUAUUUGUUAACUUCUGCUUUACAAUCUGUAUGUGAAUCCACAUAUUCUGAUCAGAUGUGUGGAAUAGUGGAAAGAGCGGCGUGAAAUAGGAUUAUUGGUGUGUCAAUGCGGUCGUGGUCCUCAAGGGAGCCAGCAAUAAAUCUGAUGUACGGUCUCUGGUCCUUUUGCAGGAUCAUCUUACCGCACACUUGUAUAUACAUGAGGCUGCUGUACAUGAAGAGUUUAAUUUUGUACACAUACACCCACGGUGUCUUUGGACUUGGAGCAAUAUAGGUUUUGGAAGUUGUUGAAACUGGGAAUGCGGUAACGUGCUUGGGUAAGAGUGAUAGACUGAAGACGGGGUUCGUUGGGGCUGGAAGCGCACGAAUCAGCAAAACUGGAGAUCGCAAGGAACCUAGGUGGUGUCCAGCACCUGGCUGGGGCCUGGAACUCGUUGGAGAGCCGUCCAGAGAUGAACGAGAGGAGACGACCUUUGUCGGGAUUUCGAGUGGAGGGAAACGAUGAGGAGGUGAUUUGUCCGAAACCGCGGCGACCAACGAACGUGUCGUGUCCUGUAAACGAGUUGAUGAAGCCUCCAAGGCGGCGACGAGGGUACGUGUGGAGCAUGUGUGGUUUGGUGUGGGUAACAUGAUAGGAGAGGUGGUAUUGGGGUGUAGCGUGGUAUGGGGAUGGAUAGAGUGUUGUAUGGGGCGUGGUGCUGUGACGGAACAUGAACCGAGUCGUGGUGUGCUUUGUUGUGGCGGUUGCAGUCAGGCGACGGUGCGAACAGAGGGAGAUGCGGGAUUUGAGUUAUUGGAUAUACUUCUGAGCAAGGUGAGUGAUCAGAGACCGGUGCGGUGUGGAUUCGGGAAUGCGGCGGCGUGCCAUUGCGGUGGGGGGUUUGUUGUAUUUUGUGUGUGUGUGUGUGGGGGGGGGGAUGAGUGGUAAUAACGGGCGUGUUACGUGGUUUUGGGGUAGUUGGGGCAGCGGUGGUACAGGAUGCGGGGUGGUAAUGUGUGGGCGUACUGUGGUGCAGGGUGGGUGUGGGGACGUAUCGAAUUUUGGGUGUUCGCCGCCGUACUUCUGCGGGUCGCCUCCGAGUCGGUCGGGGAAUCCGCUGAUUCACGACGUGCAGUUCCUGCAGAGAGCUCAGUCGGUUCUGUCGCAUCAGGUGUCGGGUCGCGGGCCGAAGUCUUUCGGCGGGAAUCCGAUGGUGCGAGUGGAGGGGUUUGCGUCGGGCGGUGCGGACUCGCGGUCUCGAGUAUCGGCACUUGCGUGACGGUAGGGUGGGGGUGGAAGUGGAGACGUUGUAGGUAGCGAGAGAGAAAGAGAGAGAGAGAGAGAGAGAGAGAGAGAGUGUGAUAUUGGAGAAGGCGAUGCCAGUGGGAGGGCGAAUAGAUUUUUGGUAAUGAUUUUGUGACGCUCCAAACGCGGUCAGAUGAAGUCGAAGGUGCACACAGCGGAAGCGGUGCUGGGUGUGCACGAGACGGCCCAGAGGAAGUCCGAGGAAUCAGGUUUGACUGAUUUGGAGGUUGGACACGCGCGCAGCGGUGUAGAGGCGUGGUCGAAGGAUCCUGGGGGAGGUGGCUUUUUUUCGAGUUUGGAGAGUAUUUUUCUUUUUAUACUUUUUUUAUAGAAUAUUUUUUCGCAUAGUUAUUUUGGAAGUAUUUUCUUGGUGACUUUUUCUUGAAAAUUGGAAAGAUUUGAUCCCUGUACACAUGACGGAGCAGAUGUAGUGAGACAGUUUAGCGAGCAGCGGCGAGGAAA